This 365-nucleotide unclassified non-coding RNA is filed under the name Hevea brasiliensis (rubber tree). Lineage: Eukaryota; Viridiplantae; Streptophyta; Magnoliopsida; Malpighiales; Euphorbiaceae. The record is from RNAcentral.
AUAAAAAGAUUAUUUGGCUUCGCCCAUAAAAAGUGGCUUCGCCUAUGGAGAGUGGCGUUUGCCCAUGAAAGGCGGUUUUGCCUAUGGACAGUGGCUUGGCCCGUGGAGAGUGGCUUUGUCCAUUGAUGAGAGGCUCCUGCCUAUUGCGGUACUGAAGGGAAACAGGCUUCGGCCCAAGGUGGAGAAAAGACAUAGAAUUCAAAAGGAAUGAAUUAUUAUCCAUUGAUGAAAGGGUUAUUAUCAUGUAGUUAGAGACACCACAAAGUAAUUAAAGUAGUAUAUAUAUUAGUUUAUAUCUAGAGGAGACUGAAAGGACUAACUAAUGUAUUUAUCAUGAGCAAUUAUGUAGUAUGAGUUCUCUUGGG